GUGCUCACUUCGGCAGCAUAUAGACUAAAAUCAGAAUGAUACAGAGAGGAUUGGCAUGGCCCCUGAGCAAGAACAUAAAUGCUUCGACUGAGCAUGAAGGGACAGUU
RNAcentral lists this small nuclear RNA (107 nucleotides) under Zalophus californianus (California sea lion). Lineage: Eukaryota; Metazoa; Chordata; Mammalia; Carnivora; Otariidae. The record is from RNAcentral.